RNAcentral lists this ribosomal RNA (700 nucleotides) under Bacillus sp. JC193. RNAcentral's name for it is "bacterial SSU rRNA". It matches the Rfam family "Bacterial small subunit ribosomal RNA", at positions 72 to 755 of the family's 1533-position model. The record is from RNAcentral. Lineage: Bacteria; Bacillati; Bacillota; Bacilli; Caryophanales; Bacillaceae.
AUGGGAGCUUGCUCCCUGAUGUCAGCGGCGGACGGGUGAGUAACACGUGGGUAACCUGCCUGUAAGACUGGGAUAACUCCGGGAAACCGGGGCUAAUACCGGAUGCUUGAUUGAACCGCAUGGUUCAAUUAUAAAAGGUGGCUUUUAGCUACCACUUACAGAUGGACCCGCGGCGCAUUAGCUAGUUGGGGAGGUAACGGCUCACCAAGGCAACGAUGCGUAGCCGACCUGAGAGGGUGAUCGGCCACACUGGGACUGAGACACGGCCCAGACUCCUACGGGAGGCAGCAGUAGGGAAUCUUCCGCAAUGGACGAAAGUCUGACGGAGCAACGCCGCGUGAGUGAUGAAGGUUUUCGGAUCGUAAAACUCUGUUGUUAGGGAAGAACAAGUACCGUUCGAAUAGGGCGGUACCUUGACGGUACCUAACCAGAAAGCCACGGCUAACUACGUGCCAGCAGCCGCGGUAAUACGUAGGUGGCAAGCGUUGUCCGGAAUUAUUGGGCGUAAAGCGCGCGCAGGCGGUUUCUUAAGUCUGAUGUGAAAGCCCCCGGCUCAACCGGGGAGGGUCAUUGAAAACUGGGGAACUUGAGUGCAGAAGAGGAGAGUGAAAUUCCACGUGUAGCGGUGAAAUGCGUAGAGAUGUGGAGAAACACCAGUGGCGAAGGCGACUCUCUGGUCUGUAACUGACGCUGAGGCGCG